GCAAGCGGGCUGCUUUAAAACAUGGCAAGUCGAACGAUGAACCACUUCGGUGGGGAUUAGUGGCGAACGGGUGAGUAACACGUGGGCAAUCUGCCCUGCACUCUGGGACAAGCCCUGGAAACGGUGUCUAUACCGGAUACUGACCAUCGCAGGCAUCUGUGAUGUUCGAAAGCUCCUGCGGUGCAGGAUGAGCCCGCGGCCUAUCAGCUUGUUGUUGAGGUAAUGGCUCACCAAGGCGACGACUGGUAGCCGGCCUGAGAGGGCGACGGGCCCACUGGGAUGAGACAUGGCCCAUACUCCUACGGGAGUCAGCAGUUGGUAAUGCAUAUUGUCAUUA
RNAcentral lists this ribosomal RNA (337 nucleotides) under Streptomyces sp. Loyola PBT 2. Its description in RNAcentral is "bacterial SSU rRNA". It matches the Rfam family "Bacterial small subunit ribosomal RNA", at positions 35 to 380 of the family's 1533-position model. The record is from RNAcentral. Lineage: Bacteria; Bacillati; Actinomycetota; Actinomycetes; Kitasatosporales; Streptomycetaceae.